UUGGGACCAGGAUUAGAUACCCUGUUACUUUUAAUAAAAUAGUUUUGGAAUAAUAGUAUUAAUGAAAUUUAACGGAUUUGGCGGCAAGAUAGCCCCUUAGAGGAACCUGCCCUGUAAACGAUGAACCACGAAGAAACAUUACUUUUUUUUGAGAUCAGUUUGUAUAUCGCUGUUGUCAGUUAGAUUCUAGAGAAUAUUUUCAUUUAUGAUAAAGUCAUUGACUUCAAGUAAAGGUGCAGCUUAUAGAAAAGAAAGAGGUGGGUUACAUUUAAAAGAAUAAAACGGAUAAGGUGAGUGAAAAAACCUUUGAAGGUGGAUUUAACUGUAAAACUUAAGAAAGUUUGGUGGGAGCUCUAUCUUGUGUACACACCGCCCGUCGCUCUCUUUUUUAAA
RNAcentral lists this ribosomal RNA (393 nucleotides) under Tetraclita rufotincta. Its description in RNAcentral is "partial 12S ribosomal RNA". Lineage: Eukaryota; Metazoa; Arthropoda; Thecostraca; Balanomorpha; Tetraclitidae. The record is from RNAcentral.